RNAcentral lists this non-coding RNA (21 nucleotides) under Caenorhabditis elegans. Lineage: Eukaryota; Metazoa; Nematoda; Chromadorea; Rhabditida; Rhabditidae. The record is from RNAcentral.
UGACUUUUUUAGCCUUUUAUU